Molecule: ribosomal RNA, 468 nt
Filed under: uncultured bacterium
Lineage: Bacteria
Description: partial 16S ribosomal RNA
Rfam family: Bacterial small subunit ribosomal RNA
Source: RNAcentral
GACGAACGCUGGCGGCGUGCUUAACACAUGCAAGUCGAGCGGAAAGGCCCUGCUUUUGUGGGGUGCUCGAGUGGCGAACGGGUGAGUAACACGUGAGUAACCUGCCCUUGACUUUGGGAUAACUUCAGGAAACUGGGGCUAAUACCGGAUAGGAGCUCCUGCUGCAUGGUGGGGGUUGGAAAGUCUCGGCGGUUGGGGAUGGACUCGCGGCUUAUCAGCUUGUUGGUGGGGUAGUGGCUUACCAAGGCUUUGACGGGUAGCCGGCCUGAGAGGGUGACCGGCCACAUUGGGACUGAGAUACGGCCCAGACUCCUACGGGAGGCAGCAGUGGGGAAUAUUGCACAAUGGGCGGAAGCCUGAUGCAGCAACGCCGCGUGCGGGAUGACGGCCUUCGGGUUGUAAACCGCUUUCGCCUGUGACGAAGCGUGAGUGACGGUAAUGGGUAAAGAAGCACCGGCUAACUACGUG